GGGAAUUUUCGGCAAUGGGGGGAACCCUGACCGAGCAACGCCGCGUGAAGGAUGAAGGUCUUCGGAUUGUAAACUUCUUUUAUAUGGGAAGAACUAGUGGGAUAGGAAAUGAUCCCACCUUGACUGUACCAUGUGAAUAAGACACGGCAAACUCUGUGCCAGCAGCCGCGGUAAUACAGAGGUGUCAAGCGUUAUCCGGAUUUAUUGGGCGUAAAGGAUGAGUAGGUGGCUCAGAAAGCCUGUGAUGAAAUACUGCUGCUUAACGGCAGUCUGUCACGGGGAACUACUGGGCUAGAGACAAGGAGAGGUAAGCGGAAUUCCAUGUGUAGCGGUAAAAUGCGUAGAUAUAU
RNAcentral lists this ribosomal RNA (350 nucleotides) under uncultured bacterium. RNAcentral describes it as "bacterial SSU rRNA". It matches the Rfam family "Bacterial small subunit ribosomal RNA", at positions 357 to 699 of the family's 1533-position model. The record is from RNAcentral.